CGCGGUAAUUCCAGCUCCAGUAGCGUGAUUUAAAGUUGCUGCGUUUAAAACGCUCGUAGUUGGAUCACGCAGUGGCAUUCAGUAACAUGGGUCGUGUUUUUUGACGAUUUUCUUCAACAAGAUUAUUGGAUCUGGACCGAUCUGUGUGUUUACGCUGUAUGUCACUAUUUGCACACAAGUAUGGUAUUUGGUCUUUAGUGAAUCGAGUAUCAUGUCUUGUGGAGUGUGCCUUGAAUAAAACAGAGUGCUCAAAGCAGGCGAACGCUUGAAUGUUAUAGCAUGGAACGAACAAACGUGUAUUUGUGCAUGUCUGAAUGGUUGGGGGCAACUUUGACUGUUUGGAUAUGUGCAGCACCCGCCAAAAUACGGAUGUUGGUUUUCGUAUCAGGUGAUGAUUAACAGGAGCGGUUGGGGGCAUUGGUAUUCGGCCGCGAGAGGUGAAAUUCUUGGACCGGCCAAGGACUAACAGAUGCGAAGGCGUUUGUCUAGACCGUUUCCAUUAAUCAAGAACGAAAGUGGGAGGUUCGAAGACGAUCAGAUACCGUCCUAGUUCCCACUAUAAACUAUGCCGACCUGGGAUCAGUUUAGUGAUUAACAAGCUCUAGGUUGGUCCCCCUGGGAAACCUCAAGUUUUUCGGUUACGGGGAGAGUAUGGUCGCAAGUCUGAAACUUAAAGGAAUUGACGGAAGGGCACCACCAGGGGUGGAGCCUGCGGCUUAAUUUGACUCAACACGGGAAAACUUACCUGGU
RNAcentral lists this ribosomal RNA (750 nucleotides) under Myxobolus toyamai. RNAcentral describes it as "bacterial SSU rRNA". It matches the Rfam family "Eukaryotic small subunit ribosomal RNA", at positions 575 to 1223 of the family's 1831-position model. Lineage: Eukaryota; Metazoa; Cnidaria; Myxozoa; Bivalvulida; Myxobolidae. The record is from RNAcentral.